AUACGAGUAGGGCAAGCGUUAUCCGGAAUUAUUGGGCGUAAAGAGUGCGUAGGCGGUUUAUUAAGUCUGGUGUGAAAUUUCAUGGCUUAACUGUGAAGGGUCAUUGGAAACUGAUAAACUUGAGUACGGUAGGGGUAAGUGGAAUUCCAAGUGGAGCGGUGGAAUGCGUAGAUAUUUGGAGGAACACCAGUGGCGAAGGCGACUACCUGGACCGAUACUGACACUGAGGAGCGAAAGCGUGGGGAGC
Molecule: ribosomal RNA, 247 nt
Filed under: uncultured bacterium
Lineage: Bacteria
Description: partial 16S ribosomal RNA
Rfam family: Bacterial small subunit ribosomal RNA
Source: RNAcentral